Heterocephalus glaber (naked mole-rat) is the source of this 2839-nucleotide long non-coding RNA. RefSeq lists it as uncharacterized. Lineage: Eukaryota; Metazoa; Chordata; Mammalia; Rodentia; Bathyergidae. The record is from RefSeq and is a predicted model, not a curated record.
UUGAAAAAUUACUUGGUCUUUUUGACCACAUGGGUAAUUCUGUUGAGAGCAGUUGUGCAGUUCUAGAGAGCUUGGGAACAAUGGAUGUAGGGACACAUAGAUAACAGAGUAAAGAAAGAGGAAGGACGAGGAGGAGGAGGAGAGGAAGCAGAAGAAAAGAUAAGAAGAAUAAGUCUGAAAGAGUGCAGGAGUGCCAGGAAGGCUUUCUCAAGAGAUGUAGAAGAGAGCAAAUAACGAAGCGCAGUAAGAAAGCUAGAAGUACUGACAGAAAGAGGAAAAGGAAUAAUGUCAACAACGAAUGGUUGAAGAUGUGAGAGGACUGGAGCCUCUUUAGCUAAAGGUGUAGGAGGCCAUGUGGCAAGAUUGCAGGCGGCCUCAAGGAUCUACAUGGUGCCAUAACCACAUUCAUUUGCAAGAGGACUCUGAGCUCCAAAUGAGAACCCAGACUAGCUGACACAAUUUUAGCCUUAUGAGAUCUUGAACAGGGAUCGAACUUGGGACCUUGCACUUGUGAAGCAGGCAGCAGCACCACUGAGCUAAAUCCCUGUCCCCUGAGACAUUAAAGAUUCUUUUGUUGUUCUUUUUGUCCUUAUAGGAUACCCACUAGGAACGUAUAGUUAAAUUACAAUGUUUAAUGUCAGUUGGAAUAAUCCCUUUCUGUAUGGUUAUGCUAAUAAUGAGAUACCCAAUUAGACUCACUUGUUUAUUUUCAUUUUUAGAGAUUGCUUUUAAAAUACCAGCUUAUUUUUAUUUUUUAUGGGAUUGGGAAUUGAAUUUAGUGCUCCAUGCAUAGUAGGUGAGGAGUGGUCAGAAGGGUUUUGGAAUGCCUAAGAAAUACUUUCUCUAUUCAUUGGACGAAUCAGAAGGCCAAAUUGAAAGAAAACCUUUGGAACUCCUCCCCCUACUUAAAAGGAGCCAAUCACAACGCCUAUGGGAAAGUAGAAUCAAAGGCAAAGUGGAAGAUUAGAGGGGGGGUGACAUCAUGUCCCUGGCAACCUAGAGGGAUGUUUUGGAAUUCUAAAUGAGUUGGUUGGCUAACAAGAGACUAUAGGGUCAACAAAAGUGAGGGAUUUAAAAAAGAUUCUAGCAGGAUAAAAUGAGGUUAGCGAGUACACAAAUACGAGGCUUACAGUUGACAGGAAGGGCAAGAUGGCUGUGUAGGGAAAGUUGGGGGACAGGCAGGGCAAGGUAGUGUCUCUCAGUGAGGUUUCUGGCAAAUAAAGAGUUAAAACCCUGCUAGAGAGAGCAGCUCAGCAAAACAAAGAGCUGAUCAGACCCUGGCUUACUCCGUGCGGGGGUGGGGGGUGGGGGGGGGCGUUUUCCCUCCUCCCUCCACCUCCAAUUAAGCGCUAAAGGGACAAAGCGGGGAGGGCGCUAUGUUAUAGAAAACUCACUUAGUAUCUAAAAUAUACACUAACACCUGGACACUCACACACCUAUAUACGAGUACAUAUAUAUUUUAUUAUUCUCUCACCAUAUUAAUACACUAAGGUACACAUGUAUCCUUUUUACAAACUCAGCCUUGAAUGUGAGGCUCUGCUGUAAAUCUCACAAGAUAAGUACUCGGACAGCACAAAGACCAAAGCCAUGCUUAUCCAAGAAUGCACACGUAGGUAAUGGAAGGGGGAAUGGCCAGACCAGGAGUCUCAGAGCCCAGAGCAGCCAAUCAAGACAUAGCAACUCUCAAGGGGGUGGGUCCCUGUCUUGGUCGUGUAAUAAAAGGGGCUAAAAACAAAGACUCCUGAGUGCCCGUUCCAGGCUCCCUACCUUACUCCAACACCAUACCUUACUAUCUCCUUAUUCUCUCCUUUUCCCAAUAAAGUGAUUUUGUUCCCUAAUAUUCAUGCCUUUCCAAUAAAGUGAUUUUGUUUUUCUUUCUAAACCUAUAUUGAAAUAAGAAAAAAUACAACAGAGGCUAACAGUCUCAAAGCUUGACAGAAAUUAACAGUUUCAAAACUUGCCCCUCCUGCUAAACCCACGAGGUUCACUAUGGCCGAAAGAUGAACUGCUGACACAACAUCUGCCUGUACCUCCCUGCCCCUGUGCUAAGUUCUGCUUCUGUUUUGCUUGCUUCCUUGCCCUGCCGAAAGAGCAAUAUAAAAAUGAAAGGAAACUUAUUAGAAUCGGGGCUCAGACUCUGGAAGGUGACUUCCACUGAGCCCGCUAGUGAAUGAGCCUGCCUUUCCUUUCAGUUCUCUGAGUGCCGCUCUCUUCCUCUGUCUGCCAGCCCCCUGAGUGCUGUAACAAUGUCUCUAAUUCUUUCAUUGGUAUAGUUCUUUGAACUCUAGAUAAGAUCUACCCUCACCAGAUGUGACAGGUAGAUUGGAAGGGAAUGUGGGAGAAAGAGUUAUGGAGCCCAGGGAGGAUAUUAUGGGGGAUGGGACAGAGUUGUGAGGCAGAAGGGCCCAGUUAUGGAGAGAUUGCAAGGAGGCUGUGGGGAGACUGAAGUGGGCAUCAGUGGACAAUCUGGAUGGUGUUAUGGGGAUGGGGAAGAGGUUACCAGGAAAGGAAGGAGGCUGUGGGGACUGGAAGAUAAGGAGCACAAGGAAAAUGUUAGAAAGAGACGGGGAGGAGACUGUGGGAUAGGGAGGAGAUUUGAGGGAUAGGGAGGGAGUGAGGUACUGACAGUCACGGGAUGGGGAUUACAGGAGCAUGUAGAGAGGAUUCUGGGAGAUGGAAAGGGGUACGUGGUACAAAGCAGAGAUUAUUGGCAGCAGCAAGGGGCCUAUAGGAAGGUGGGGGACAUUACUGGAGCGUAGGGAGAGAGUAAACAGUACAGGAAGGAGGUAACGGGACAGCAAGGGCUCAUGGAUACUGUGGAUCGUCAUCAUCACAAGGG